UGCCAGCUCUGAUGAGGCUCGGUGACAAAGAUUACGUAAGGAAAUCAGAGACCACUUCAUAUAGUGUUCCACAUACAGCUCGGGCAUCACAUGACUCGGUCACCUCUGCCCUUGUUAUUCAGUGUGCAGCCACCUCCUCUGUAACAGACAGUUAAACCUCUUCCUAAAGGCCCUCCUCCAUUUUAUCUUGGCUACGAUCAUGAUGUCCAUGAGUGGCAGUGUUCACAUCUGAGGCUAUAAAAGGCUCACUAUGACAACGAUGGCUCCUCUGUCAAUUUUUCUUUUAUCAGCAAGUCCCUGUCAGAUACUUCUACUGUUCCACAAAGGUCUUUAAAGCUCAGUGGUGAAGGACUAACAAACCCCAGAAUGCCGUUUCAAGGCUUUUUUGGAAACUGAGUCCUUUCACAGAGAACUUCCGACCACAAAGAAAUGGGUGGAGGAAAAAAGACGAAAUCUUCGUUUUCUGAAAUGGAAAGAAUACAAAAAUAAAUGUUCUGCUAUAAAUAUUCUUUUACAUGUAGUAAACAUUUAACUUGUACAUGUACCCCUUUCACCACCAGGCUCAAAGCUCCGUCUCAAGCUCUCUCAGCUCCGUCCUUGGCUCUCCUAAGGUAAUUACCACAGACACGGCAGAGCUAACUUUAGCUUAGCUUAGCUCUCUCGACUCUGUCCUCGGCUCUCCUACGGUAAUUACCACAGACACGACAGUGCUAACUUUAGCUUAGCUUAGCUUAGCUCUCUCGACUCUGUCCUCGGCUCUCCUGAGGUAAUUACCACAGACUCGGCAGUGCUAACUUUAACUUAGCUUAGAUCUCUCAGCUUAGUCCUCGGCUCUUCUGAGGUAAUUACCACAGACUCUGCAGUGCUAACUUUAGCUUAGCUUAGCUUAGCUCUCUUAGCUCAGUCCUCAGCUCUCCUUAGGUAAUUACCACAGACUCAGCAGUGCUAACUUUAGCUUAGCUCUCUUAGCUCAGUCCUUGGCUCUCCUGAGGUAAUUACCACAGACUCUACAGUGCUAACUUUAGCUUAGCUUAGCUUAGCUCUCUCAGCUCAGUCCUUGGCUCUCAUGAGGUAAUUGCAACAGUCACGGCAGUGCUAACUUUAGCUUAGCUUAUCUCUCUCAGCUCAGUCCACAGCUUUCCUGAGGUAAUUACCACAGACACAGCAGUGCUAAUUUUAGCUUAGCUUAGCUUAGCUCUCUCAGCUCAGUCCUCGGCUCUCCUGAGGUAAAUACCACAGACUUUGCAGUCUUAACUUUAGCUUAGCUCUCUCAGCUCCGUCCUAGGCUCUCCUGAGGUAAUUACUACAGACUUGGCAGUGCUAACUUUAGCUUAGCUCUCUCAGCUCCUUCCUCGGCUGUCCUGAGGUUAUUACCACAGACACGGCAGUGCUAGCUUUAGCUUAGCUUAGCUCUCUCAGCUCAGUGCUUGGCUCUCCUGAGGUAAUUACCACAGACUCGGCAGUGCUACCUUUAGCUUAGCUUUCUCAGCUCUGUCCUUGGCUCUCCUGAGGUAAUUAACACAGACACGGCAGUGCUAACUUUAGCUUAGCUUAGCUCUCUCAGCUCAGUCAUUGGCUUUCCUGAGGUAAUUACCACAGACUCAGUAGUGCUAACUUUAGCUUAGCUCUCUCAGCUCCAUCCUUGGCUCUCCUGAGGUAAUUACCACAGACUUGGCAGUGCUAACCUUAGCUUAGCGCUCUCAGCUCCAUCCUCGGCUCUCCUGAGGUAAUUACCACAGACACAUCAGUGCCAACUUUAGCUUAGCUUACCUUUGUACUCUCAGCUCCAUCCUCGGCUCUCCUGAGGUAAUUACCACAGACACAUCAGUGCCAAUUUUAGCUUAGCUUACCUUUGUACUCUCAGCUCAGUCCUUGGCUCGGGCAAUGGUGGCUCAACUGGUUAAUGCUCUGGGUUGUUGAUCGGAGGAUCGGGGUUCAAGGCCCAGCACUGAGCAAGGCCCUCAACCCUCCCUGCUCCAGGGGCACUGUAUCAUAGCUGCCCCUGCACUCUGACCCCAACAUUCUUAGUUGGGGUAUGUGAAGAAAAGAAUUCCACUGUGCUGUAAUGUAUAUGUAGCUAUAAUAAAUGCUUAUGUGCCCCAUUCUAUUCAUCUCUGUCCUCGGCUCUCCUGAGGUAAUUACCACAGACUCGGCAGUGAUAACUUUAUCUUUAUCUUUAACUUUACCUAUGCUCUCUCAGCUCCGUCCUCGGCUCUCCUGAGGUAAUUACCAGACUCGGCAGUGCUAACUUUAGCUUAGCUUAGCUCUCUCAGCUCCAUCCUGAGCUCUCCAGAGUUAAUUACCACAGACACGACAGAACAUGAACAUGACAGACCAGUGGCUGAAGUCAGUCAGGGACCACACUGACAGAAAUGUUGCACUACAGGCCCUCAGAACCACAGUCCCCACAGGCUGGCCAGAUGAGAAAGGAAAAACACCACACAUUAUCAGAGACUUUUGGCCUUAUCGAGAGGAAAUAAGUGCACAAGAUGGUAUCUUGUACAGAGGUCAGAAAGUCAUUAAUCCCAAAUCACUGCACCCAGAGAUGCUUAGGUGCAUUCAGUCAAGCCACAAAUGAGGGGAUGAAUGUUAUCAUCAAGCUCGUGAGAUGUUGUAUUGGCUUAGUAUUCAAACGGAAAUCAAAGACUUUGUGAGUAACUGUUUGACCUGCAACAAAUUUGCACACAACCAACAGAAGAAACGAUGAUGUCUCAUUACAAUCACACCAGGCCUUGGAAAAUUGUCACCAAGGACUUGAUCAGUCAUCGGCAUCAUCAUCAAUAUUUUAUUUGUGGAGCAUUUCUCAGGUUUUUAGAAGAUUGAACUGCUUUCUGACCUAUCUGCGGAGACAGUCAUCAGGCCCUGCAAGGCUCAGUUUGCUCCACAUGGCCACCCAGACAGAAUGAUUACAGAUAAUCUAUUAAUAAUUGCUUUUGUGAAUACAGUCUCUGAAAUUCGCUCUCGUGUGUCUGCCUUUUAUUUUGAUGCCUUUGUGAGACCCAAACACACCUCUCAUACACACUCAUAUUUUGUGUAUUUGUCCUGCAGUGUUUUGUAUUGUCUUUUGUCUCACACUGUUUGCACUAGGUUGUACACGAUGCAGUUUAAGUGUCAUGAACAACUUACUUUAAAUCCUUAGCUCUGUGUUGUUUCAUGUAGCACCAUGGUCAUGGACAAAGGUUUCAUUUCACUGUGCACUGCAUCAGAUAUAUAUUGUUGAAAUGACAACGAAAGCUUUUUGACUUGACUUAAUUUCUGAUGAUAAUUCCUGAUCCUGUAGGUGGCACUGUGCACAGCUGACUGUGUUGCUGACUGUGCACAGCUCAUCAUUCUACAUGUUAACAUUUAUGUAUGUGAAACCAUUUGAAAUAAGUGACUUUAAGUGAAUUUAAUUAUGUAAUAAUUAUGUUGAUGUCUGUUUGUAAACAAUACUAAACAAUAAUAUAUUCUAAACAUAA
Long non-coding RNA from Tachysurus fulvidraco (yellow catfish), 3458 nucleotides. RefSeq lists it as uncharacterized. The transcript is spliced from 4 exons. NCBI's taxonomy places the organism in Eukaryota, Metazoa, Chordata, Actinopteri, Siluriformes, Bagridae. The record is from RefSeq and is a predicted model, not a curated record.